Molecule: non-coding RNA, 74 nt
Organism: Rana temporaria (common frog)
Lineage: Eukaryota; Metazoa; Chordata; Amphibia; Anura; Ranidae
Source: the annotation of a RefSeq genome assembly
GGCCUCUGUGGCGCAAUGGAUAGCGCAUUGGACUUCUAAUUCAAAGGUUGUGGGUUCGAGUCCCACCAGAGUCG